UACGUAGGGUGCAAGCGUUUGUCCGGAAUUAUUGGGCGUAAAGAGCUCGUAGGCGGUUUGUCGCGUCUGCUGUGAAAACCCGAGGCUCAACCUCGGGCCUGCAGUGGGUACGGGCAGACUAGAGUGCGGUAGGGGGAGAUUGGAAUUCCUGGUGUAGCGGUGGAAUGCGCAGAUAUCAGGAGGAACACCAAUGGCGAAGGCAGAUCUCUGGGCAUUAACUGACGCUGAGGAGCGAAAGCAUGGGGAGCGAACAGG
RNAcentral lists this ribosomal RNA (255 nucleotides) under uncultured bacterium. Its description in RNAcentral is "partial 16S ribosomal RNA". It matches the Rfam family "Bacterial small subunit ribosomal RNA", at positions 524 to 776 of the family's 1533-position model. The record is from RNAcentral.